CACGGGUGAGUAACACGUAUGCAAUCCACCUGUAACAGGGGGAUAACCCGGAGAAAUCCGGACUAAUACCCCAUAAUAUGGGCGCUCCGCAUGGAGAGCCCAUUAAAGAGAGCAAUUUUGGUUACAGACGAGCAUGCGCUCCAUUAGCCAGUUGGCGGGGUAACGGCCCACCAAAGCGACGAUGGAUAGGGGUUCUGAGAGGAAGGUCCCCCACAUUGGGACUGAGACACGGCCCAG
This 237-nucleotide ribosomal RNA is filed under the name uncultured bacterium. RNAcentral's name for it is "partial 16S ribosomal RNA". It matches the Rfam family "Bacterial small subunit ribosomal RNA", at positions 102 to 334 of the family's 1533-position model. The record is from RNAcentral.